CCAUGCCCCCUUUGCUGUGAGUCCAAGGCCAUGGCCAUGCAGGGAGGCCUCUGGGACCUUCUGCACUCAGGAAGGAGCCCAACUUUCCUCUCCCUCCCUUCACUCAGAGGCCUCGAAGGCUGGAGGGAUUGUGGGAUUCUGGCACCACCUAGCGUCUGGCUUCCUCAUCUGGGCCUGCAACCUUUUGAGGGAGGAGAGGGGAGAACUGGCAGGAGAACCAAGCUGCAGGACCAGGAAAUGAACAGGGUGUGUUUGGGGGCCAGAGGCAGGAUAGACCUCACUCCACUUGGGAAUUAAGCUCUUUGUCUUAAUCCACUGCCCCCAGUCCCUGAUAACCACCAACUCUCCUAGAAACACAGAAGGCUUGAGCAGGGAAGGGUCCUUAGAGAGCAAAACAGACCGUCUUCAAUUUACAGAAGGGGAAACCGAGGCUCUAAGAGAGGCCGUGGCUUGUCCAGAGUGACAUGGCCAGCCUGAGUCAGAGCCAGAGGUAAACUUCAGGUCUCUGGCUCCCCUUCCAGAGCUCUUCCUACCACACGAACAUCCAAAGGACGGGAAGCGGUUGGUGGGGCAGGGAGGUGGACUCCCCACUGACUGCCUGUGGGUUUGGAGAGUGAAGGGGAAACAGAGAAGGCCUGGGGUUGUGGGGAGAAACUCCAGAGGAGACCAGGAGCCAGGCAGGGGAAGGCCAGGUGACUUACAACUCAGCACCAAGUCCUUGUGACACCCCACUCCAAAUGUGGACUCAUUGGUGUAGGCCAAACCCUUAAACGGAAUUCAGUUUUCUUUGCAGGAGAUAGAGGCACACACUUGAGCUCUCCCUCGAGGGUGGGAGAAAUGAACUUGAAUGGGGCAGGUCUAGCCAGGGGGGCUUUCAGGAGGAGGGAGGCUCCCAAAGCCUCUUGGAUGCAGCAGCAAGGCAAACAGGAAGAGGGGGUAUUCAGACCUGUGGCCCACCCCAGGAGAAGUAAGAGCACUGGAGGAGAAUCACGUUUCUAGAAUGUUCUAGAAUGUUCCAUACAGAGGACAAUCCAGCCUGCCACCCUCAGAGGGAAAUUCCACCUGCUCUGGAUGAGUCACUUCCCUUCGCUGACCCUGCCUCAAGGCCUCCCUCCUUGUGAAAUGUGAGGCUUUAUCAGGUCUGAACCUGAGGGGCUUUUCAAACCACCACAUACCCAGAUUUCCCCAGCCCGGUUGAAUAUGAGGUUUGGGGGGUGGCCUCUGCAGGCGGAGGCUUAACGAGCCCCAUGGCCCCAGGUGGUGUUCAGAGGCCUGGGACCUGCUUCCUAACCAGGACUCUUGUGAACAUUUCCCUUCUCUCUCCAGAAAGGUCACAUGGGCUGGCAGUUACUGAACUUUCACUUCACUUUGGGAUUUUCCACAAUUCAGACCUGCAUUGAGUCACAAAGAUCUACCAAGCCUAGGAAAUUAUUGGGUGAAUUACUCUUAAUCACACAACUCCGACCACGACAGUCUUCGUCUGAGGGCGCAAUUCCCUUUCUGACCACCAGAGGGAGCACGUGGCUUGCGCCGAAUCCCCUCCAGCUGCGUGUUUUCAACUCAAUCUUUCCAAGGGCCUUUGCCGGGAGGAGGGGCUCCUGGCUCCUGAAUGGUCCGCCCGGUGCCGUGAUUUCCUAGGAAAGCCCUCAGCUCUUCUCAUUCCGCUUGUUCACCCCCCAGUUUCCAUACCUUCCACCCCACUGCUCCCCAGAGAGAAAUGUGACAAUGAGCUUCAGCUCUGUCGAAUCCAGACUACAUGGAACCUCUCUGGGUUGGCUUCUCAACUGAUUUCAGAGUUGUGAGCUGAGAAAGAACAGCAGGAGAGAGGCCACAGUUAUUCAGGGGACUCCUGCCUUGCUGGGGGCUUCCACAGCCCCUGACCAACUAUCCUGGUGUCACUGCUGAGACAGCAGCCUGAACAAGGGCAAUGGGACCCCAGAGACUGCAUCUGUACAGUCGGAGCCCCAGGGCUUUAGACCCUUUGCUCCAGUCAUCUUAGAGCCAGAAUAUUAUCAGCCAAAAUGAUGAGAGAGUAAGUGGCAAGCAUACCUAGACAUCUUCUGAGCCCAGCAGACAGAAUUUUGGUUUAAGGAGAACCUGAGUAGUUUAAUGACACAUACUAUUUUUUUAUAUAUAGGCAUCACAGUCUAUGAAUUGUAAUGAUUCAUCUCAAGAAGAUGGUAUUUUAGAUGUAUGUGUAUAUAUUUGAAGCCAAAACUGUUUAUUUUGUGUAAUUUUUUGUGCCUAUUAGUUUCUGAAUAUCUGUGCAUAAAAGCUUCUGUUUCUCUGCCUGCACACAUUUGUGGGUACACACUAUACACCUAUGUGGGGUAGGAGGGGGGAAUGGGCAUAUUUGUUUGCAUUUACCUUGUGUUUGGUCCUAGGAAGGGAUCUUGAUGAUCAUUCCAGCCCAGCUCUUUCACCUCAAUGGUGAAGAAACUGAGGUCCAGAAAGGCAAGGUGACUUGUCACAGAUCACACAGCUGGCUAUGGAGACAGAGGUGACACAAGAACCUAGGAUUUCUGAUUUGUAGAUGAGAACUCUUUCUAUAAUAUUAAAAUCAAUUAUAAAUUUUGGGGAGGGAAGCAGGGAGAUCCUUGUUUUUCCUCCCCCAACUGAUAAGUAAGUACUAAGAAGGCCAAUCUUGAAUUAGCUCUAUAAUACCAAAAGUUAAGCUUUUCACACAGACCUGGUUCAGUAUUGAUUCCUUUUAUGAAAACCCUGUUUAUACUCAAGUUGUCAAAGAAUUCCAGAGGGCAUAUGAAGCCAUUGUUAAAAUAAUUAUAUGCCUUUGUUUUUGAAGAAAAGUAUCCAAAAUAUAUAAGCUUAUUGUUUGAGUUAAACAAUAAAAACAUCUGCUGUUUCU
RNAcentral lists this small RNA (2866 nucleotides) under Pan troglodytes (chimpanzee). RNAcentral describes it as "processed transcript". Lineage: Eukaryota; Metazoa; Chordata; Mammalia; Primates; Hominidae. The record is from RNAcentral.